This 355-nucleotide ribosomal RNA is filed under the name uncultured Massilia sp. Its description in RNAcentral is "bacterial SSU rRNA". It matches the Rfam family "Bacterial small subunit ribosomal RNA", at positions 1 to 364 of the family's 1533-position model. The record is from RNAcentral. Lineage: Bacteria; Pseudomonadati; Pseudomonadota; Betaproteobacteria; Burkholderiales; Oxalobacteraceae.
UAGUGAGUUUGAUCCUGGCUCAGAUUGAACGCUGGCGGCAUGCUUUACACAUUCAAGUCGAACGGCAGCGCGGGGCAACCUGGCGGCGAGUGGCGAACGGGUGAGUAAUAUAUCGGAACGUACCCAGAAGUGGGGAUAACGUAGCGAAAGUUACGCUAAUACCGCAUACGAUCUACGGAUGAAAGUGGGGGACCUUCGGGCCUCAUGCUUGUGGAGCGGCCGAUAUCUGAUUAGCUAGUUGGUGAGGUAAAGGCUCACCAAGGCAACGACGCGUAACCGGCCUGAGAGGGUGUCGGUCACAGGGGCACUGAGACACGGGGUCCCACGUCCUACGGGAGGCAGCAGUUAGGAACUC